RNAcentral lists this microRNA (24 nucleotides) under Glycine max (soybean). Its description in RNAcentral is "gma-miR1520f-5p". The record is from miRBase by way of RNAcentral. Lineage: Eukaryota; Viridiplantae; Streptophyta; Magnoliopsida; Fabales; Fabaceae.
AUUGUCACGUGUCAUGUUCUGAUU